CGAAAUUUUGGUCAAUAGGGUACAGGUUCCCCGGUGGACCAGUUAUGUAGAUAAAGGAAGGCGGACUAGGUGGUGGUGGACAGUAUUGGGAUGGCGACUUUUUUGGUGUAGGUGGCGGAAGAGCGGGCGGUGAUGGUGGUGGAGGGCAUGGUGGAGGCGGCGACGGUGGUGGAGGACUUUGUACGCAUGAUGGGGUACACUUGAUGCCUUGAUCACCUGGUACUGUGCUCUCGUCAAGCUUCCUUGAUUCCAAAGCGUCGAUGGGGUAUGCAACAGUGGCGAUUAGGAAGCUU
RNAcentral lists this long non-coding RNA (293 nucleotides) under Gossypium barbadense (sea-island cotton). RNAcentral describes it as "long non-coding RNA (GBAR_LNC014390)". Lineage: Eukaryota; Viridiplantae; Streptophyta; Magnoliopsida; Malvales; Malvaceae. The record is from RNAcentral.